UGGGGGAUAUUGCACAAUGGGCGAAAGCCUGAUGCAGCGACGCCGCGUGGGGGAUGAAGGCCUUCGGGUUGUAAACUUCUUUUGCUCUGAACAAGGCAUGCUAAUGAGUGUGUUGAGUGUAGGGGUUGAUUAGCGCCGGCUAACUACGUGCCAGCAGCCGCGGUAAUACGUAGGGCGCGAGCGUUGUCCGGAAUUAUUGGGCGUAAAGGGCUUGUAGGUGGCUGGUUGCGUCUGUCGUGAAAGCUCAUGGCUUAACUGUGGGUUUGCGGUGGGUACGGGCUGGCUUGAGUGCAGUAGGGGAGGCUGGAAUUCCUGGUGUAGCGGUGGAAUGCGCAGAUAUCAGGAGGAAUACCGGUGGCGAAGGCGGGUCUCUGGGCUGUUACUGACACUGAGGAGCGAAAGCAUGGGGAGCGAACAGG
Molecule: ribosomal RNA, 419 nt
Filed under: bacterium
Lineage: Bacteria
Description: partial 16S ribosomal RNA
Rfam family: Bacterial small subunit ribosomal RNA
Source: RNAcentral